ACCUCAAAGCGAGCCAUGCGACUCUGUUCACCAUAUAACUCUUACAGGUGAACCAGCAUCUCCCUGGCAGUCCUUAUAUCUUCAUACUGUUGCUGAAGAUCAUUGGACAUGGACGCUAAGAUAUAGCACUCGUCUUGUUAUCUUCGUCCAUCCAUUUCUCAAGUGCAGCUCGUUGAUCAGUGGAUGGGCGAGCAGAUAACACAGGCACUUCCUGAUCGAGGAUAUGGGUAAGUUUUUCGGAAUUAAGAAC
RNAcentral lists this long non-coding RNA (250 nucleotides) under Elaeis guineensis (African oil palm). RNAcentral's name for it is "long non-coding RNA (EGUI_LNC046554)". Lineage: Eukaryota; Viridiplantae; Streptophyta; Magnoliopsida; Arecales; Arecaceae. The record is from RNAcentral.